Molecule: small nucleolar RNA, 82 nt
Organism: Rhipicephalus microplus (southern cattle tick)
Lineage: Eukaryota; Metazoa; Arthropoda; Arachnida; Ixodida; Ixodidae
Product: small nucleolar RNA snR60/Z15/Z230/Z193/J17
Source: RefSeq, a predicted model, not a curated record
CAAUGCAUGAUGAUUACAUAGUUCAGCAGACAUCUCUGACGAUAUCACAUGUUUGGUCUUUCGCUCCUAUCUGAGUGGACAG